Molecule: long non-coding RNA, 829 nt
Filed under: Felis catus (domestic cat)
Lineage: Eukaryota; Metazoa; Chordata; Mammalia; Carnivora; Felidae
Description: lncRNA (ENSFCAG00000042202.2)
Source: RNAcentral
AGAAGCCCGAAGCUACAGUUUUUUUCCCUUCACCUGACAGGUCUGUUUUUUAAUCCAAAGGAUUUGUCCAAGUGACGCCUGCGCCCAGCAAAAACUCGGAAAAAUACAAAGAAUGUAAUAAUAAUGGUUCUAGUAAUAAUUUAACCAGCGCCUAUUUGCCAGGCCUCUUUUUUGUUUUUAAUGUUUAUUUAUUUUUGAGAGACAGAGAGACAGAGAAUCCAAAAUAGGCUCCACACAGUCAGCACAGAUGCCAGGCUUCUUCUUUAAUCCUUCCAACCACACUGGAGGAAAAGAGGACCGAGGCGCCCAGUGUCCACGGUAACCCCUAGGGGGCGCGCGUGGUCCAGAUCGGAGACGCCAGAACAAUCCUGGACCGCGCCGCUGCGAGCGCACUUCAUUCUAGGGCAAAAGCCCCAGCGCAGGUGCAAAUACUGGCUGUUAGAAGACCCGGUGCUAACUUUGGGGGAACCCCCCCCCCCCCCACUCCCUGUGGUUUUGGGGCUCACCAGUCAAGGUGGCCCCAUCUCUCUCACCCCACGAGCUGGACCAAUCACAGUCCUUCCUGGAUCUUCUUGACAGAAUCUAGGAGGCAGGCUUUCUUUCUGCUGGGCUUGCUAAACUGGCCAGAGAUGACCCUUGUGCUGUCCAGUUCCAUCACACCCACCCAGCAGAGAAAGCCCGAGUGACAAAGAGAGAGAGCCGCAAUGAUAUCAUUCAAGCCCCUAGAUCCAGACGGACCUGAAGCUAGACCCACUCCUAAUCUUUCCACGGUAGGUACUAAUAACCCCCCUUAGUGCUUCGAUUAGUUCGAGCUCAGUUUCUUCUCUUG